RNAcentral lists this long non-coding RNA (247 nucleotides) under Phoenix dactylifera (date palm). RNAcentral's name for it is "long non-coding RNA (PDAC_LNC019822)". The record is from RNAcentral. Lineage: Eukaryota; Viridiplantae; Streptophyta; Magnoliopsida; Arecales; Arecaceae.
UCCCAAACUCCCUCGACCUCGGGAAGCGUCACGGGUCGAGAGUGCGGCCCCAGACCCCUCGAUCUCGUGUAUGAUCCCUCAACUAAGUUUGAGAUGCCCCGAGUGCCGACUGUAGAGAUCCAAACUCCCUCGACCUCGGGAAGCGAUGCCAAGUUGAUAGCAAACCCAAGCUCCCUCGACCUCGCGCUCGAUACCCCGACCAAGGUCGGGAUGCCCCGUGAGUCGACCGUAGAGUUCCGAACUCCCU